Long non-coding RNA from Physeter macrocephalus (sperm whale), 1803 nucleotides. NCBI's taxonomy places the organism in Eukaryota, Metazoa, Chordata, Mammalia, Artiodactyla, Physeteridae. The record is from Ensembl.
GUAUACAGUAUGUUCUGUAUUGUUAAUCUUCAAUGUGAACAGGUCAGCUUCAUAUAUUUAUCUUUUUUUCUUUUUCUGCAGAUUGUACACAAGGGCAGGAGGCUUUUUGGUUUUAUAGGCCACGCUUUUCCGGAUGCGCUCUCCUUUGAUGUUAACUACAUGUGGCAAGAGUGGGCGCCGGACCGUCAGAACUGUUCCUUGAGUUCUUACAGGCCUGGCUGGACGCAGAGAUUAAUCCCUGCCUCAUCACCUCUCAAGGGUACAUGGAUAAUGGGUAAGAUUCAGCUUCUAUGUUUACAGGUGUUUCCAUGAAUUGGAAGUAAAUGGAUAAUAAUUUACUGUUUAUUUAACAGAUCUCUCUGUGUUUAGCACUAAGGACACAAAGACAGCUAUUACAAUAUGUUCUAUAUGGUCCCUACCCCCGAGGAGAUCAGAAGGUGGAAACAGCAAGUAAAUAAAUUACAAGGUAAGAAACGUGAUGAGAGGCAUCUACUAAGUACUGUGAUUGUGAAGGAAGUAAUGAAUGUGGUUUGGUCAAGGAAAACAUUAAUGAAGAGCAGAAUUUGAAAAACAGAUAAAAGUUACUCAGUGGAAAGGUAUCCUGGGUUAGUAUCAUGUACAGACACAGAAAUUGGAAAAAGGAUAAUGAGUUCAGAGAACUGUAGUUUAACUGUGCAGAGUAUGUUAUGUGUGUGUGUGCAUUAGUGAUGAGGCUAUCUAUCAGUUUAGACUUCUCUCAGUAAUGUGGAACUACUAAGGAAUUAUAAGCAGGAAAGAGAAAAGAAUCAAAAAAGAAUACUGUGGUCUGCUUUGUAUUUUGGAAAAAUCUGCGUAGUGCAGGGUUUCUCAACCUCAGCACUAUUGACCUUUUGGGCCAAAUAAUUCUUUGUCUCGGGAGGCUGUCCUGUGCAUUGCACAAUUUUUAGCAGCCUCUGCUCAGCAUCCAGCAAGUUGUGAAAACCAAAAAUGCCUCCAGUCUUUGUCAAAUGUUCCCUUGAGGUGAAAGUCAACCCUGGUUGAGAACUACAGCUGUGGUGGGGUAGGGCGGGCAGAACGCAGUAAAACUGGGAGCUGGGAAAAUACCUAAGGAUCUCAAAACAGCCUAAAGAAAGUAGAUUACAGUUUGGACGAUGAGGCUGGUCUCAGUGAUAAUUAGGAGGCAGGAUUGACUUUGACUUGGAAGGUAAGAAAACCAGAAGGCAAGGAUGAGCCACAGAGCAGCCCAAGAAACCAUUUGUAUUACACCGGGAGAGAAGCCUCAGUGUUGUUUUGAGAAGUAUCAGUGAGUCCACUCUGAAGACUACACAGAUGCAUGGGGGUGGAGCCCUACCCUGCAAAUCCCACGUGUCUCUGGAGUAUUAACUUUAAGGCAGUUAUUUCGAUGGAGUUUUAGUUUCACUCUGGCUUUCUUAGGAAUCCAGAGAGAAAGAAGCAUUUACUUCCCAAGUCAGGUUGGUUUUAUCCUUGUUGAAGGGUGGGUGUGUAUUUUGUGUUUUGACUUAUUUUCAGUUGUAUGAGCAUUAAUUCAUGGUAAAUCACCUCUGCAUUGGACAUACCCGCUAUUUUUGCAGUAGGAUGUCCCAUAAUCUUCAUCACCACAAAUACUUACGUAGCAACCAUCUUAUUAAAAACACCAAACAGCUCAAAAUGGAAACCCAAGGGAGGCUACUGCUGUCUUUCACUCUAUUUUUUAAAAGCAUACAAUGCAUUUGUGAAAAGGUACAGAUUUAUUUUCAGAGUAGGUUACAUCUUAUGAAUAAUCUAGUAUGUAUUCCUUAAAAUAUUCAGCUUAUGUCAGUUAAG